This 1420-nucleotide long non-coding RNA is filed under the name Capra hircus (goat). RNAcentral describes it as "lncRNA (ENSCHIG00010005695.1)". The record is from RNAcentral. Lineage: Eukaryota; Metazoa; Chordata; Mammalia; Artiodactyla; Bovidae.
GAAGGUGGAUCUUUUUAAGAUGACCAUUCGCUCAUUUGAAGAAGAAAAACAAAAAACAAAAAAAAAUAAUAAAAAUAAAACAAUUUUUACAAAGUAAUGGGAUUCAAAGAGAGAAAAGAUUUUUUUUUUGUCAAAAUGUUGAUCCAAUCAGAUUGGUAAAAAAAAAUAAAAUAAAACCCCCACACAAAUUAAAGAGGAAUAAUAAAAAUUGCAAAAAUUAAAAAACUUUUGCAAAUUUUUUUAUUUUUCCUUUUUUCUUUUAUAUCAUGUGAACUAAAAACAGUCUUCUGUUAGGGGAUGGGGGCGAGGGGGAUACCUGAUGACAUUAACAAUUUAAUAACAUUAACAUUGUUGCCAAAGAGGUGGUCUCUUUGCUGAAAAUGGGUUUCAAGAAAAAUCUAUUUUUAUAAAAUAUAAAGAAUUUUUACAAGAGAAUCUGGAUUUGAGAAAAAAAUAUUUUGACUGGCUAAUUUAGGGGAAAUUGACAACUUUGUCGCGUUCAUACUGCACUGGUAACUUUUUAGNNAGAGAUCAAGAUGUGUGUUUUAAACUGGAUUCGUAGACUGUUUUUUGAAGGAUGGGCUAUAAACAGAUGAUCUUCAUAUCUUUUCAUAGCAUGUAAUAAUAAUAUAAAAAAUUAUUAAUUACUAGGGGAAAGGAGUGUUCGUUCUACCCAGGGUACCACAGUUCCCCACAGUCAAAACCCAAAAGCAAGGAGAUGAGUUGAAAGACAGUUUUUCUUUAAGUCAUCAGUAUGGGAUGUCAGCAGAACAAAAAUUAAAAAGAUUAAUUUUCCUUUCAAUCUAAAACUUCCUUAGUUUGAGCAGUAGGUGCUACGAAAUUAUUUACAUAUCUUAGUAUCAUAGUUAAAUGUAAUGUGUUUAGGAGAGGAAAACAAAAGAUACAUUUGCUUUAAAUUCAUUAAGGAAUUUUCAAAUUCACUUUGUAGCCCAUGCUGAUAGAAUUGGGCUGUGUUGGUACAUUUGAAACACUGUUUAUGUUGCUUGAAACACUUAUUUAUUUAAUCGCAGAUGUGAUGAUGCCUAUGGCCGAGAUCAAAUAUAGCUAGAUUGGCUAGACUACGUAUUUGUUUACUUAAACUAUGGGAAGAAGCAUAUUAUUGUGUCAUUCUGUUGUGUGUGUAUGUGUAUAUACAAUAUAAAUAUAUAUAUAUAAAGUUAUUUUUUCUUUGGGUUAAUUUAUUAUAAGUUGUAACACUUGGCUAGUUUUGUUUGUAUAUGUCUUAAAAUGUUUUCUUAUGAUAUUUAAGUGACAGUUAAAGAGGUAUCAAGGUAACUUGUGUAGAACUAUUGUUUGAUAUAUUGUCAUGUUUGUUGUGAAUAUUUUUUUCUUACUGCACAGUAGAAAAAUAAAAACAACUGGGUCUUUCUUUUAAUGUAAUUCAGAUUGGGGAAAACAA